This 439-nucleotide ribosomal RNA is filed under the name uncultured bacterium. Its description in RNAcentral is "partial 16S ribosomal RNA". It matches the Rfam family "Bacterial small subunit ribosomal RNA", at positions 338 to 795 of the family's 1533-position model. The record is from RNAcentral.
CCUACGGGUGGCAGCAGUGGGGAAUAUUGCACAAUGGGCGCAAGCCUGAUGCAGCAACGCCGCGUGAGCGAUGAAGGCCUUCGGGUCGUAAAGCUCUGUCCUCCAGGACGAUAAUGACGGUACGUGAGGAGGACUCCCCGGCUACCUACGUGCCAGCAGCCGCGGUCAUACGUCGGGGGCUAGCGUUAUCCGGACGUCCUGGGCGUAAGGGGGGCGUAGGUGGAUUCUUAAGUCAGAGGUGAAAGGCUACGGCUCAACCGUAGUAAGCCUUUGAAACUGGGGAACUUGAGUGCAGGAGAGGAGAGUGGAAUGCGUAGUGUAGCGGUGAAAUGCGUAGAUAUUAGGAGGAACACCAGUUGCGAAGGCGGCUCUCUGGACUGUAACUGACACUGAGGCACGAAAGCGUGGGUAGCAAACAGGAGUAGAUACCCCUGUAGUC